UCUGGAGCGUGGUUCCGCUCCGGAGGUUUUUUCAGGAAAGCCCUCCGGCGGCGCAGGAGACAUUACUCCGACGACAUUGACACAUACAAGGAAACAGCCCCGUUCCCUAGCCGAGGUCAGAAGAAUCCUGUCGCACACCAUACCACGGAAGAGUCCCGGGUGAGCCAAAGCGUCGGCCACCCGGGAGGACACCGCGGCACGGGGGAUUAGCUCAGCUGGCUAGAGCACCUGCUUUGCACGCAGGAGGUCUGCGGUUCGAUCCCGCAUAGCUCCACCAUCUCUGUAGUGAUUAAAUAAAAAAUACUUCAGAGUGUACCUGCAAAGGUUCACUGCGAAGUUUUGCUCUUUAAAAAUCUGGAUCAAGCUGAAAAUUGAAACACUGAACAACGAAAGUUGUUCGUGAGUCUCUCAAAUUUUCGCAACACGAUGAUGAAUCGCAAGAAACAUCUUCGGGUUGUGAGGUUAAGCGACUAAGCGUACACGGUGGAUGCCCUGGCAGUCAGAGGCGAUGAAGGACGUGCUAAUCUGCGAUAAGCGUCGGUAAGGUGAUAUGAACCGUUAUAACCGGCGAUUUC
Molecule: unclassified non-coding RNA, 575 nt
Filed under: uncultured bacterium
Lineage: Bacteria
Description: partial contains 16S ribosomal RNA, 16S-23S ribosomal RNA intergenic spacer, and 23S ribosomal RNA
Rfam family: Salmonella enterica Typhi npcRNA 44 (bases 345-453)
Source: RNAcentral